CUGAGUUAUAAAACUCCCAAACCCAUGUGAACUUACCUUUUGUUGCCUCGGCAGGGCCUGUUGGGGGGCGUAGCCCCUCGCCAGCGGCCUGCCGGUGGACCACCAAAACUCUUGUUAUUAUUGUGGAACUCUGAGUUAAACAAACUUAAUAAGUUA
This 156-nucleotide unclassified non-coding RNA is filed under the name uncultured Xylariales. RNAcentral's name for it is "sequence contains ITS1". The record is from RNAcentral. Lineage: Eukaryota; Fungi; Ascomycota; Sordariomycetes; Xylariales.